This is a small nuclear RNA of Octodon degus (degu), 107 nucleotides long. The record is from Ensembl. NCBI's taxonomy places the organism in Eukaryota, Metazoa, Chordata, Mammalia, Rodentia, Octodontidae.
CUGCUCACUUCAGUAGCAUAUAUACUAAAAUUGGAAUGACACAGAAAAGAUUAGGAUGGACCCUGCACAAGAAUGACACACAAAUUUGUGAAGCGUUCCAUAGUUUU